CCUACGGGAGGCAGCAGUGAGGAAUAUUGGUCAAUGGGCGGGAGCCUGAACCAGCCAAGUCGCGUGAGGGAAGACGGUCCUAUGGAUUGUAAACCUCUCUAGGCGGGGAGCAAUGCCGGGCACGCGUGCCCGGAGGGAGAGUACCCGCAGAAUAAGCAUCGGCUAACUCCGUGCCAGCAGCCGCGGUAAUACGGAGGAUGCGAGCGUUAUCCGGAUUUAUUGGGUUUAAAGGGUGCGUAGGCGGCUUUUUAAGUCAGCGGUAAAAUGUCCGGGCUCAACCCGGGCCGGCCGUUGAAACUGGGGAGCUUGAGUGGGCGAGAAGUAUGCGGAAUGCGUGGUGUAGCGGUGAAAUGCAUAGAUAUCACGCAGAACUCCGAUUGCGAAGGCAGCAUACCGGCGCCCGACUGACGCUGAGGCACGAAAGCGUGGGGAUCGAACAGGAUUAGAUACCCCAGUAGUC
This 460-nucleotide ribosomal RNA is filed under the name uncultured bacterium. Its description in RNAcentral is "partial 16S ribosomal RNA". It matches the Rfam family "Bacterial small subunit ribosomal RNA", at positions 338 to 795 of the family's 1533-position model. The record is from RNAcentral.